GACGAACGCUGGCGGCGUGCUUAACACAUGCAAGUCGAACGGAAAGGCCCUGCUUUUGUGGGGUGCUCGAGUGGCGAACGGGUGAGUAACACGUGAGUAACCUGCCCUUGACUUUGGGAUAACUUCAGGAAACUGGGGCUAAUACCGGAUAGGAGCUCCUGCUGCAUGGUGGGGGUUGGAAAGUUUCGGCGGUUGGGGAUGGACUCGCGGCUUAUCAGCUUGUUGGUGGGGUAGUGGCUGCCCAAGGCUUUGGCGGGUAGCCGGCCUGAGAGGGUGACCGGCGACCUGGGGCCUACGGGAGGCCGCAGUACGGAAGGGGACGCAAUGGGGGGAAGUCUGACGGAGCGGCGGCGCGUUUGGGAGGAAGGCCCCGGGAGCGGAAAGACGUGUUAGGGGUGAAAACCCAAUUUGUCUGGAACUAAGGAGGGCGUGACGUUAAUGAAUAAAAAAGCCCCGGCUAACUACGUG
Molecule: ribosomal RNA, 468 nt
Filed under: uncultured bacterium
Lineage: Bacteria
Description: partial 16S ribosomal RNA
Rfam family: Bacterial small subunit ribosomal RNA
Source: RNAcentral